RNAcentral lists this ribosomal RNA (433 nucleotides) under uncultured bacterium. Its description in RNAcentral is "partial 16S ribosomal RNA". It matches the Rfam family "Bacterial small subunit ribosomal RNA", at positions 29 to 507 of the family's 1533-position model. The record is from RNAcentral.
AACGAACGCUGGCGGCAUGCCUAACACAUGCAAGUCGAACGAGACCUUCGGGUCUAGUUGCGCACGGGUGCGUAACGCGUGGGAACCUGCCCUUAGGUUCGGAAUACCUCCCCGACAGGGGUGCUAAUACCGGAUAAUGUCUUCGAACCACAGAUUUAUCGCCUUUGGAUGGGCCCGCGUUGUAUUAGCUAGUUGGUAGGGUAAAAGCCUACCAAGGCUACGAUCCAUAGCUGGUCUGAGAGGAUGAGCAGCCACACUGGGACUGAGACACGGCCCAGAAUCUUACGGGAGGCAGCAGUGGGGAAUAUUGGAAAAUGGGCGAAAGCCUGAUCCAGCAAUGCCGCGUGAGUGAUGAAGGCCUUAGGGUUGUAAAGCUCUUUUACCCGGGAUGAUAAUGACAGUACCGGGAGAAUAAGCUCCGGCUAACUCCGUG